CGGGCGCGGUUUGGGUGGCGCGGUUGGAGAUGCCCUCAUCUCCCCACCUCCGCCUUCGAAGAACAGCGCCGCUACCUGGCAUCUCGAUCCCCUUCCGACCUGAGCGGCGACAGGCAAAAUCGACGGGGCUCAUGCAGCGGUGGCCCGGACCUGGAGGCAGCUGCAGCAAAAUCGAAGGCCUGGCUCGGAGGCAGCCCGGACCUGGGCGGCGGGGUAGCAGAAAUCAAGGGCCGCGGGCCUAAUCGCGCCCAGGAAUACCCCUAAGACUAUGGAAUCUCUGGCGCCGGGGCGGACGGUGCCGCCGACGCCAUCGAUCAUGAAGUCUCCACCACUGCCCUUGAUCCCCUUCGAGAUGCCACCUCGCCUGACCAACAUACCCGUGUCGCGGCUGCCGUCUCGCUCGACGUGUUUCUCGAUUGUGCCCGUCGCCGCCCACGCUGAUUAAAAUGCACUAGAUCAUCGCCUAGAUGCCGUACAGGUUCUUCGUUCUCUACAGGUUUCUGUUGGCACCGUAUAAAUUUGCACUUUUUUUUCAUAUGUGGUUGCAGCUUGAUGUAUGUUGCCACUGGAUGUUAUACUUACAGCCUGAAAGGCUGCCGUAGUAAGGUAAGCCUGGUCGUUGUAGUAGCAAAGGACUUGAACCAACUUCUAUUCUUCCCUAAUUCAUCUAUGUUCCUCCAAACAUCCAUUCAUGCUACUGUAAUUUCUUUAAAGUUCUACUCUAUCUCGUAGAUUAGUUGUGUAGAAAUAAUAAUAUAGAUAAUACAGAAGUGAGCUUGAAGUUCAGAACCAAUCUGUGUAGAAAUAAACUGCAAAGAAUACCAUAAGCAUCAUAUUUAGUUGAAUUAGUUUUAACAUAAUUUAUGUGCUCUGGACAGAACAGAAUAGGUCGUAUACUCAGAUGAUAAGAGCCAGAAGGAGAUUGUCGAGCUGCUUGGCUUGUGAGUUGUGUCUGCUCCUCCAAGAUCGGACCCUGUCUCAGCGCAAUGACAGGACAGGAUGUCUCCCUGGUGAGAAUCGACACUCUGUUCCUUUCAGUUUAGAACCGUGGCAUGCUCGUAGGAUUUCGUGUGAUAUUUGCCAUGUCAGUCAGUAUAGCAAGGACAACACCGAAGAUCUUGGAAUUUUGAUUUCAGGUUUACGUUAUUGAGGCAAUAUUAGAACUCCCAUCAUUUGUCAAGUUUGAUGAUGCCGCUGUUACAGAAAUUUAUUAGCAUGCAGAAGUAUAAUUGGUUUUGCAGAGGAAAUAUGAUUGUAAAGGUAUAUUUCUGGACUGCAUAGAUUGCACUACAGAGCACAUAAAAAUAUCUGCAUUGUCGACCCUCUUCAGAAGACGUGAUUACAUAGUUUACCACAGUGAGGAAGCAGGGGAUGUUCAACUUCCUUUAUUACCGCAGAAUCAUGACAGAGCUAUAUUAACACGAUACAUAUUCUCAUUAAGUGUUCAAAUUGAUGACGAAUUUUAUUAUCUUAUCUGAAGCUACUGAUAUUUUUUUCAUUCAUGUUCUGUAAAUUUUAUGAAGCUACUAAAUAUUCCCUUGUACUGAAAUUUGAUUUUCUACAUAAUCUGUUUUGAAGAAACUCAGUUUUCCUGUACUUACUAAACUUUACCUUGUUGCUGAAAUUUCAUGGGAAGGAGGAGCUCAAGGGAGCAGACAAAACAAGGAGAAAGGAGCUAGAAAGUAGAACUGUAGAAGUUAUCGUGAUAACCUGCAAGCUUUAGUGAACUCCUAAUUCCUAACCACCAUGUGUUUGAUAAUUAAACCAGUAUAGUUUUCUUUUGAUUAAGUAGUUCGACAUAUAGCACCUAGCUGCACAGGACCGUCUGCAAUGGAUUUGAGAUAUCGCUGCACCGGAGUACCAGUUAAUGAAAUCGAUUAUUUUGUAAGUUUCCUCACUGUUUCUAUAUGGGUGACUAGCAUAUAUAUUUUCUAUUCCAACUUGCAGGAAGUGAGAACAUACUACUUAAUGAAAAACUAUUUGUACGUAUACGAAAUUGUUAAUGUAAAAGGAGAGUUGUAAUAUUGCCUUCCUUAAGUUUAGAAGAUUACUCAUUUGAUUGCUUUGACAACUAUCUGUGCCUUCGGUACAAAAUAAGUAUGAGAAUCAGCAGUGGCAACAAUGAUCAAGGCCAUGGGAAGGAACCAUAACCCUACCAUUUAGAUUUCAUUUAAAUCUAUUUUCCAGUCUUUUCUCUUGAUUCUGUUUGUUUUCUGAGCUCAAAUGAUUAUUGGUGGAUUAGACUAUCUUGCUACGACUUAACACUGCAACGUGGACCUGAGUAUGUAGAGAAACAAAAGUUUCUUAACCUCGCCUCUAAAGAAGCACAAUGAUCAUGCUACUGUUGGGAUUUCACAAGUAAAACUAAAAAGAAAUGCUCCAACAACACUAGCCUUUUACAAAAAAAGUACUACUCAUUUUUCAUAGUGGUGAUCUUUGUGGAUUCUUUGUUAAUAGGGUCGUUUAGCACAGUGAUAAUUCUCAUGUGCAUAUUCUUCUCUUCAAGACGUAUAUUUAACAUAGCUUUGAAUUUUGCAGUUAUUAGCCACUGAUACAUGUUCAUCAUGUCAAGCUACCUAAUUACAUUCACCAGGAUGCAGAUGACUUACCAAGUGGCCAUGGAAGAGGAUGUGGCCGCCGGGGAUGGGCAGGGGAAGAGGAAAAUCUAAAAUCUUAUCUCAACAGUAAGAAGCCAGUUCUUGCACUUCCAUGUGGAAUGAGGAGGUCUCCAACCACUCCCUACUCAUGAUGGAGGCUCGCGUCCGCCAUCCGGUAAAAGAUAUGAUCUAGCAGCUGGACAUGCACAUCCCCACCACUGGACAGAUGCCGUAUGAGCUGGUGUAGAUGUGGAAAAAGCUACUUCUGGGUUGAAAAAGUUAUAUUAGUACUAUUAGCUCUUGUGAUUGACAUGCAGUGGACUUAUCAGAUCAUGUAAGUUGUGUGUGUUGUACUGAAGUGGUAAUAGGCAAGUUAAAUUAAGUUUUGUCAAUGUGUCACUUUUCUCAA
Long non-coding RNA from Lolium perenne, 3006 nucleotides. RefSeq lists it as uncharacterized. The record is from RefSeq and is a predicted model, not a curated record. NCBI's taxonomy places the organism in Eukaryota, Viridiplantae, Streptophyta, Magnoliopsida, Poales, Poaceae.